Molecule: long non-coding RNA, 1523 nt
Filed under: Populus trichocarpa (black cottonwood)
Lineage: Eukaryota; Viridiplantae; Streptophyta; Magnoliopsida; Malpighiales; Salicaceae
Description: long non-coding RNA (PTRI_LNC003728)
Source: RNAcentral
AAAAGUAGUGGGUCCUUGGGGAGGGUCUCACAAACGCCUUGGGGCAAGCCAACUAAAGGCGGGUAUAAGACUGGUCCACUCAAGCGCAGAAAAUAAUUUUGCAGCCAUCUUCUUUGUUUGGCUCCUCUGUUUUGAAUGCUGGUAGUUCCUGUGAUCUCAUCAAAUAAAUGUUUUGAGGUCAGGUUUUCUAAAUCCAUCAAAUUAUUUUCCGCCAUAAAUCUAGGAUUGGUUCUAUUUGUUAUGUUCAGAAAAGAACAUGGAUGAUAAAGAGUGUUUCAUGUAGGCAUCUGCAAAUUUGCCCCUUUUGUUUUCGUUUGAACCUAUCAAUCUUGAUCAGUGUUUCAUAUUGAAUGUUUAUGGAUGAACACAAAUUACCAGCUUGUGAACUGUUUUUUAUGGAUCCUAGAUUUGCUUUUGCUUUUAUCUUUGGUCAGUCCUUCCAUUUGAAAUGAAGUUUGAAUGGGGUAGUGAGUGUUGAGCGAUUUUUCUUUCCUGUGAAUAAAAUGGUUGCAGAAGAGCUUUUUCAGAUACGAGCAGUCAUCCCCCCUCUAAUUCUAGAAAAUGUAUAAAUUUUAUUGGAAUUAUGAAGUUCUAUUUUCAGAUAUUUAUAAUCAGAUGCGCGGUUUUGCGAUAGUUGAAGUUCGAAAUUUUUUCUUGUUUUGCGAUUUUUGACAAACUUCUUUGUUUUGAUUGAAUUUUGUAAAAAGAUUUUUGGUGCAUAAUUUGGAUUACACAUCAAACAAUAUUUUGGAAGUUGAUCUUUUGUUAGAGAUGCUUGGCUGCAAGAUGGAAACUCAAUUAUAUAUGGAAGUUGGAUUAUCAUGAUGCAUGAUUUUCACAUCUAUUUUGUAGUGAAGCCUUACAGACUCCGUCCCAAAACCAGUUCAUGUUCUGAUAUUCAACCAUUAAGAUUGAAAUGCGAAGAAAGGAAUUUCAGAAUUGCUAGUUUCAGAACCCUGGGAUGCAGUUAGUAGCAAGGGAGCUUUAAAAAAAAAACAGUAUAAAAGUAGCUCCAUGUUCUAUUAUCCAUCAUCAACCAUACCAUCCUCAUCCUGGCCACAUUGCAUGCUUGUCAAACAGUUUAUAGACUAAUGCCACUAUUCAAUAAGGUAUUGAUCUCUUCAAGUAUUCUUACAGGUCUCAUUAAGAUAUUUCUCGUUUAUUGCAGUCGGUAUGAACAAAUUCAAACAUGAACUGAGAUGUGAUUCUAACUAAUAUCUUCAUAAAAAUCAAAUACAAAUGUUUUCUUAACAUGAAUCAUUACUUACCAGUCGUUGUAUACAAGUAGGCUUCAUCUCUGUGUGAUUCUUCAGCAGUGGAGUCCUCCACUCAUGUCUGUACUUCAUUCCUCAAUAAUGGCAAGCAAGAUGCAAAAUAGACAGCUAUCUUUCUUGUAGUAGUCUUGCUUUGCAUGAUCAAGCCAUUCCUAAUGUCCAAACAUUUUUUUUUUGAGAAAGGAGAAGAAGAACGUGAGUAAAGCCACUAUCAAUUUCCCUAUUACCCUUUUUGUCUUUGCCCAAGAC